GACGAACGCUGGCGGCGUGCUUAACACAUGCAAGUCGAACGGAAAGGCCCUGCUUUUGUGGGGUGCUCGAGUGGCGAACGGGUGAGUAACACGUGAGUAACCUGCCCUUUACUUUGGGAUAACUUCAGGAAACUGGGGCUAAUACCGGAUAGGAGCUCCUGCUGCAUGGUGGGGGUUGGAAAGUUUCGGCGGUAGGGGAUGGACUCGCGGCUUAUCAGCUUGUUGGUGGGGUAGUGGCUUACCAAGGCUUUGACGGGUAGCCGGCCUGGGAGGGUGACCGGCCACAUUGGGACUGAGAUACGGCCCAGACUCCUACGGGAGGCAGAAGUGGGGAAUAUUGCACAAUGGGCGGAAGCCUGAUGCAGCAACGCCGCGUGCGGGAUGACGGCCUUCGGGUUGUAAACCGCUUUCGCCUGUGACGAAGCGUGAGUGACGGUAAUGGGUAAAGAAGCACCGGCUAACUACGUG
RNAcentral lists this ribosomal RNA (468 nucleotides) under uncultured bacterium. RNAcentral's name for it is "partial 16S ribosomal RNA". It matches the Rfam family "Bacterial small subunit ribosomal RNA", at positions 28 to 507 of the family's 1533-position model. The record is from RNAcentral.